UGGGGAAUAUUGCACAAUGGGCGCAAGCCUGAUGCAGCCAUGCCGCGUGUGUGAAGAAGGCCUUCGGGUUGUAAAGCACUUUCAGCGAGGAGGAAGGUGGUGAGCUUAAUACGCUCAUCAAUUGACGUUACUCGCAGAAGAAGCACCGGCUAACUCCGUGCCAGCAGCCGCGGUAAUACGGAGGGUGCAAGCGUUAAUCGGAAUUACUGGGCGUAAAGCGCACGCAGGCGGUUUGUUAAGUCAGAUGUGAAAUCCCCGGGCUCAACCUGGGAACUGCAUUUGAAACUGGCAAGCUAGAGUCUCGUAGAGGGGGGUAGAAUUCCAGGUGUAGCGGUGAAAUGCGUAGAGAUCUGGAGGAAUACCGGUGGCGAAGGCGGCCCCCUGGACGAAGACUGACGCUCAGGUGCGAAAGCGUGGGGCAGCAAACAGGAUUAGAUACCCUGGUAGUCCAGCGCUGUAAACGAUGUCGAUUUGGAGGUUGUGCCCUUGAGGCGUGGCUUCCGGAGUUAACGCGUUAAAUCGACCGCCUGGGGAGUACGGCCGCAAGGUUAAAACUCAAAUGAAUUGACGGGUCUAGCUG
RNAcentral lists this ribosomal RNA (580 nucleotides) under uncultured bacterium. RNAcentral describes it as "partial 16S ribosomal RNA". It matches the Rfam family "Bacterial small subunit ribosomal RNA", at positions 355 to 932 of the family's 1533-position model. The record is from RNAcentral.